Molecule: long non-coding RNA, 280 nt
Filed under: Prunus persica (peach)
Lineage: Eukaryota; Viridiplantae; Streptophyta; Magnoliopsida; Rosales; Rosaceae
Description: long non-coding RNA (PPER_LNC008004)
Source: RNAcentral
GAACACACAGACUCUGGUGGAUCCAAUCUCUGUCUAGCAGUGCAUUGUAAGUGGUAGAAGUGGUGUCUACAACAAAAAAGGCAAUCUUUAGCUUUUUGGUUCCUACUAUGACAUCUACGUCUAGUAUUCUAUGAGUCUUGGCGAUGCCCCCAGCGAAAUUGGUGACCAUUAAGCAUGUUGGGAUUAAAUCUUUCUAUGUUCUGCCCAUUUUGAACAACAACCUAUGAGGAAGAAGGUUGAUGGCUACGCCUCCAUCUGUCAUGACUUUAGGGAUAGGAAC